GAUGAACGCUAGCGAUAGGCUUAACACAUGCAAGUCGAGGGGCAGCACAAGGUAGCUUGCUAUCUGGGUGGCGACCGGCGCACGGGUGCGUAACGCGUAUGCAACUUUCCCUAUACAGGAGGAUAACCCGUCGAAAGACGGACUAAUACUGCGUAUGCUCACAACUUGGCAUCAAGUGGUGAGGAAAGAAAUUCGGUAUAGGAUAGGCAUGCGUCCCAUUAGCUUGUUGGUGAGGUAACGGCUCACCAAGGCAACGAUGGGUAGGGGAACUGAGAGGUUUAUCCCCCACACUGGUACUGAGACACGGACCAGACUCCUACGGGAGGCAGCAGUGAGGAAUAUUGGUCAAGGGGCGCGAGCCUGAACCAGCCAAGUCGCGUGAAGGAUGACUGUCUUAGGGAUUGUAAACUUCUUUUAUACGGGAAUAACAAGAGUCACGUGUGACUCCCUGCAUGUACCGUAUGAAUAAGCAUCGGCUAACUCCGUG
Molecule: ribosomal RNA, 487 nt
Filed under: uncultured bacterium
Lineage: Bacteria
Description: partial 16S ribosomal RNA
Rfam family: Bacterial small subunit ribosomal RNA
Source: RNAcentral